AGGCACCGCCCACUCCUUUGGAGGUGAGCGUGGCCCAGGUAGAGCCGCCGCGCCCUGGCGCUCGGGCUCGGGCUUCAGUGACUAGCAGCUCCCCGCCUCCGGUAAGCGGGGAAGAAGGGGCCCAGCGGGGCAGUGGGCUACGCGGAGGGCCCAGGCCGCGGCGGCAGCCGCUGGUUGUCCACCUUACCUUGCGUCGCCUGUGGCGGUCCAGCCACCGUCAGAUCCGGGUAGCGACCCGGGGCGUUUACAGCGGUGCGGAGGAAGAGAACGGGAACGGUGUUACGGUAUUGUUUGCACAGAGUGCCUGCUUUUAGGAGGUGGCUGUGUUGUCGGAAAAGCUGUCAAGGAGGAAAUUGCCAAACCGUGUCUUUUUUUCUGUUUUCAGAGUAAUUCACAGCAGAUCUGAGUGUUUUAAUUAAAGCAUGGAAUACAGAAAACAACAAAAAACUUAAGCUUUAAUUUCAUCUGGAAUUCCACAGUUUUCCUAGCUCCCUGGACCGGGUUGACCUGUUGGCUCUUCCCACUGACUGCUCUAUCACGUGGUGCUCUCCAACUACUCACCCCGAGUGUAAAGGUGUGUCUGCUUCUGCUGCAUUCUUUGCUCCCUACCCAGGAAUCUCAGGAGGCUGUGAGAUUAUGUGUGAGGGUGGUCUCUCCUGGGGCACUGUGCCCUGGCAGAAGGAACUUGGCAUUUGGAGUUGAAGGGCUUGAGUUUGGAUUCCAUGUCUUCCUCUACCUGGGCUGCACUGUUACCUGAAAAAUGGGAUUGAUGUUAACACCAAUUUUACAGUGUCAUGAAAUGUGCUUUGUAAAUUGUAGUUAGAAGCACUCUAAACUUGUAUAGUGUCCAGAAGUUCACUAUGCCUUUAAAAAAAAAAAAAAAAAAAAAGCCCUGCUAAAAAUCCUGAUGUGUAUUGCAAAUUAUUAAGAGUGAUUUUUUAUGUUCUUACUGGAAUAUGCAGUAGGGCAGAAGUAAAAAGAAAAUUGCAGCUAAAUUUUCCUUCUGAAGUCCUGCUGCUUUUGUUUGCUCCUCAUUUUUCUCAGCCCAAACCCAGAAAUCCGUAAAAGAUUCUGCAUGCCACAACCUAGAAAUCUAUCAGAG
Molecule: long non-coding RNA, 1102 nt
Filed under: Piliocolobus tephrosceles (Ugandan red Colobus)
Lineage: Eukaryota; Metazoa; Chordata; Mammalia; Primates; Cercopithecidae
Description: lncRNA (ENSPTEG00000020654.1)
Source: RNAcentral